Long non-coding RNA from Cherax quadricarinatus, 2826 nucleotides. RefSeq lists it as uncharacterized. The record is from RefSeq and is a predicted model, not a curated record. Lineage: Eukaryota; Metazoa; Arthropoda; Malacostraca; Decapoda; Parastacidae.
CACUAUAACGAGGUGAUAAAAUUAGUAAGUAGUGAGGGAUGCCAUGCCAGGUAUGACGGGAUGCGCCAUGACAAGUGUUAGUUAGUUUAGUUUAAUAUCUUUAUUAUGCACCCCAUACCCAUCCUGUGGGCGGUAGUCAAAGGAUUACAGAGGUACAUAAUUGGUCCAGGGACUGGGCCUCAAAGUUUUGAUAGCUGAGCAAGUUACAAAGGUGAUGAACUCACAAUUUGCAAAGGUAAUGAAGUCACAAUUUACAAAGGUAAUGAACUCCAGGUAGGUCUGGUCACAAUCAUGACAAGUUACAAAUGUAUUUACAGAUUACAGAGGUACGUAAUAGGUCCAGUGACUGGGCCCCCAAAGUUUUGAUAGCUGAACUAGGUACAAAAGUAAUGAACUCACAAGUUACAAAGGUAAUGAAUCCUGCAAGAAUGGUUACUUACGUUUAUACAUGGCUACAGUCAUGAACAAAUUAUAGAGUACUGAGCAAUUCACACUUCCACACCUGGUCACAAUUACAUGACGAGUGUUCGGGGGGAAAAAUACCCGACUACUCAAUCAACGCUCAUCGAGCUUAGGUCUUAAUAGAUCGAUAUCUAACAUGUGUAAAAUUAAGGAGACGUUAAAUCGUCUUGUGAAUUGUAGUGAAAUCAGCGAUAUUAACAUUAAGUUUAAGUAAUGAUUGAGGUGAUGGAAGCUGCCAUUCCCCGAGUGAGUGAGCACAUGUUAACCUCGCGUUUCCUGUCCCAAGGAUAAUGGAGUUUUUACGGAGUCACGACUUCUAAAUCGGGACAAACCAAGCGAUAUCAUAAUCCUGUUGGAAGAAGAUUCGUUUCAGCUGGUAGGAUAUCGAGAUCUGAAACAAGACAGACAAGGAAUGCGACCUCCUCACCCACAGUUAAGUGCCCUUUCUGGUUAUAGCAGACUGAUACUGGCCAGUUAGGUAUGUUAUAAUGGGACAGGUGUUGUGGGUGCUACAACGUCCUCCAGUGACCACCAGAGAAAAUUUGGUAAGUGUUGGUAUUAUACAAGUGUAUUCCCUGACGAAUAUGUGUGUGUGUAACCCACCCUACCUUUUCCUUCAGUCAAAUAUAAUCCAUACAGUUCACAACUAAUUAGUAGCACCGUACUUGUGGGUGCUAUCCACUUCUAUACUGGUCUAGGAUAGAUAUGGGUAAGAUUUGUGAAGUCGAAGGGACCACUUGCAGCGACCAGGUUUUCUCACACGUCUGCACGGGGUGACUACUGUUAUUGGAACUUAUUCGGUCCUAAGUUCCACAAGGUAAAUAAGCCAUAUGAAGGCCCUAACAUUUCAUGGAUAGACCGUCUGAGUUUUGCGGGCCCUCACAUCCACCCAAAACACAUACACACACCCAGGUUGGCGAAGGUGGUUGGAAAGUACAUCUUAAUUGAUAGAUUUACCCUUCAAAGAAAAUGUAGGUAGUUGAUGCUGUUAGUAAACUAAUAUUAGGAUUAUUGAGGCAACUGUAGGUAUUAAUAAUGUAAACCUAAGACCUUAGCGCAGGUAGGAAUAGGCCUUUAAUGUAGGCAAACACUAGGUUAUAUUAGCGAGGGAGAACUGGUAGCCCAAGCUUGAACGACGUGGCACAGGAUUUUGAGACGCGAGUGCCUCCUAAGACAAGACACCAACGUAACAACAAGUGCCGUGGGUCUUUGUGCAGUCGGACGCCCGAAGACCAGAAUUUGGUUCCCGGCUGCACGUGGUGACUUGAAGGGGAAAAUCCAGAGGGGCUAAGGCUUAGGGAGGUUGAAGACCGGGUGAUAUAUUCUCCAACACCAAAAUGGAAUGAAGCUGAAGAUAAAGAGGAAGGAUGGAAAUGUGGAAACGACGAAGAUCCAGGAGACUUCUGUGGAAACUUCCAACCCAUUCUCUGUGCUGCCUGACAAAUGUGAGUCGACUAUGGGGAACGACAUGACGAACUACAUCAAGGAAGGUCGGAACAUUGUGCUUGUUGGGGACAGAUUAAGCACAUGGAAAAGGCUUUCUGCUUGGAGGACAGGAGUAAGAGACAGAGGGAUUGCUUUCUUGGGGCCAGGAUGGAUGAUAUUGUUAGCCGUCAUAACAUCACAAACAGUAAUAUGAUAAAUCCCAUUAUCUGCCUCAGUGCUGGAGGUAAUGAUGUCAGCAAGUAUGGAAGUGAAGAUUUAGGUACAACAAAUAUAGGACAGCAAUAGAUAUAGUUAGGAAGAAAGGAGGGUGAACUGUUAUAUGUGGCAUUUUGCCUAGAAGGAAUGAUGGAAAUGAAUAGCUGUCCAGAGCAAUUGGUAUUAAUUGUGGCAGGAUACUGUAAGAAUAAUGCAGUACCAUUCAUUGACAACUGGAACUACUUCUAUGGCAGAAAUGGCAUGUAUGCUAGGAAUUGGGUAUUCUUGUAUAGGGCUAGUGUAAGUGAUCCAUCUAGUUCAGUGGAGGGUGUUGUUGGGCUUGAAACUAUGAACUGUUAGAGGCAAAGGUUGUGGAAGGAAACAAAUGAUUGUGGAAAUACUGAUUAAGGCCUUCAUAUCCUAAAUUUUAGGAAUAACAAUCAUCACCUAACGCUGGGUAGAUAACAUAAAUUGUGGAAAAGCAAAAAUAACCAGGAAAAAGUGCAGAAGAUAAACAUCUUAACAUAAUUUACAGUAAUAGUCAAAGCUCCAAGAAAAAAACUUAGCCAUAAUACCAACUUACCUCAUAAUUUGUAAUAUUUUACAAUUAAGAAUAAAACUAAGUAUGCCCGAAAUGCCUAGCCAUGCUAAGCGUUCUAGUGGUAUACUCUGUAAUCACAAUUUUACUACAUGUAAACCAAACAAUAACCAAAUUUCUGUAAA